This 253-nucleotide ribosomal RNA is filed under the name uncultured bacterium. Its description in RNAcentral is "partial 16S ribosomal RNA". It matches the Rfam family "Bacterial small subunit ribosomal RNA", at positions 524 to 776 of the family's 1533-position model. The record is from RNAcentral.
UACGUAGGGUGCAAGCGUUGUCCGGAAUUAUUGGGCGUAAAGAGCUCGUAGGCGGUCUGUUGCGUCGGCUGUGAAAACCCGCGGCUCAACUCCGGGCCUGCAGCCGAUACGGGCAGACUAGAGUUCGGCAGGGGAGACUGGAAUUCCUGGUGUAGCGGUGAAAUGCGCAGAUAUCAGGAGGAACACCGGUGGCGAAGGCGGGUCUCUGGGCCGAAACUGACGCUGAGGAGCGAAAGCGUGGGGAGCGAACAGG